GUAAAACAUGAUAAUUUACCUGGUUCCUAAAAUCUUUCAAGGUCAAAGCCUUGAUGGACUUGACCAUGUGAGGCGGACAAUCUUUCAUCAGUCUGAUAUGGUUUGAUGCUACUCUGGUUUAAAGAUUUAAUGAAUGUAAGCGAGAAGUUCAUAGACCCUAGGAAUUGAUAGAGCCCACAAUUCAUAGACCCUUCUCGGUUACAUUCAUUAAAUCUUUAAGGUAGAGUAGCAUCAAACCAUGUCUGAUUGCCCACCUGGUUGCCAUGUGAACUUUAAUAUAUUUGAUCAGUCUUUUCGUCGCUAAGUCCAUCAGUCAAUUAAUCAAACCUUUUCCUAAAACGACUCAACAUAUUAUUAUCCACGGAAACUGCUUCAUAAAAAUUAGUCAUAUUACUAUUGUUCAUUGUCAUAUGUCAAAUGGGAUAACUGCUCUCUGAUAGGCUGUAAUUUCUGCGCCAUUUCUUAGAAACUGUUACUCCUGUGAACAUUACUAUCAGAACACACCACAAAAAAAGACCACGUAAGGAGUCGAAGAUCUCCUCAGAAAAUUUUGCUAUAUUGCAGAGGGUAAAUCGUUCUAAAUCGUGCUGAGAUGAUUAUGAACUUGAAACUUCAGCGAGAGAAGGUCGCUCAUGCAAAAAGCCUUUAUCGUGCACAUAGAGACCUCUUUCCAUAUAGUAAGGAGAAUUCCAUUCCGACGUCGUAUCGAGAAGGUCAGCUCCAGUAUUACGGGUUAUUUUAGCCUGUUCUAGGCGCUCAGUUAAUGAAACGAUUGUAAACGACGCAAUAGUUACAGACGAGUGAAAUCGAGGAAGGUUUGGCUCGGGAUCGUUACGUGAACCAACCAAAUUCCUCUGGUUGUUUUCGCUCCACCGCCGCUUUAAUCGCACUGUUUAGAAAUGCGCUGUUCCCUAUUCCGCUGUUUUAUUACCAGUUGCUUGUUUGGAACGGUUUAGGUCUGUUUUCUAUCUUUUGUUGGCUAGAUUUAUAUAUUUCUUACAUUGAUUUUAGGUUGUCUUUACGGAUCGUACAUUUUCGCAGCUCUGAUUUAUGUCAUAACAACACUUCAUUUCAUGAAGUGCCACAGGGACCACAUGCUCCAGCUUUACCGUGGAGAUAGACGCCUAAUGCAAAAUGUUUGCCUCUCGCCGGCCUCUUUUGUGGGGAGAAGUUUGAGUUAUACCGGAUACCAAAUCGCCUAUUCCGUGAUCGGUAUGUAUGGUGUUCCUCAAACUUAA
This is a long non-coding RNA of Pocillopora damicornis (cauliflower coral), 1238 nucleotides long. Lineage: Eukaryota; Metazoa; Cnidaria; Anthozoa; Scleractinia; Pocilloporidae. The record is from RefSeq and is a predicted model, not a curated record.